Amaranthus tricolor (Joseph's coat) is the source of this 443-nucleotide long non-coding RNA. RefSeq lists it as uncharacterized. The transcript has 2 exons. Lineage: Eukaryota; Viridiplantae; Streptophyta; Magnoliopsida; Caryophyllales; Amaranthaceae. The record is from RefSeq and is a predicted model, not a curated record.
GUGACAACGCGAAAUUGGCUAUUUGGGUUUGAACCCGAGGAAAAUGCGAAGGAGAUAUUAAGUGUUAUUGAGGAAAAUAACACUGAUCAUGAUGAUAAUGCUUCAGGUACACUAAGUUUGGUGGAGCAGUUCCUUACAGAUUAUUGAAAGGCGGUGUCGCAUUGAGGACUAGGAGCAGGAGAUCUAAGGUGGUGAUGGAAGAGGAGGAAGAAGAUGAAAGUGAUGAAAUGAGUUAUACUUCUGAGAAAAUUAAAGAAAAGUGAUGAAAUGAGUUAUACUUUUGCAAUUUCUUAUGCAUAACUAAAAUUUGGAAAAGACUUUUUGUGUAGUUAGGAUUAUUGAUGUUUAUAUUAUUGGUAGGGAAAAAAAUGUAAUGGAUCUAUUUUAAAUUUCGUCUAAACUAUUAAAUGAAAUGAAAGUGGUUUAUCAAUUUCAUAGGUUAA